UAAGGUUUAAAAUCUGAUGUAGGAAUUACUUAGGAUUAUUUAGGAUUUUGUUAGAGUAUGUUUAAGAUUUGAUUAGGGUUCAGUUAAGGUUUAUUUAUAUUUGUUUAGGAUUUGGUUAGAAUUUUUUAGGAUUUGACUAGGAUUUGGUUAGGAUUUGUUUAAGAUUUAGUUAGGAUUUGAUUAGGAUUUGGUUAGGAUUUGAUUACAAUUUGUUUAGAAUUUGACUAGGAUUUAUUUAGGAUUUGAUUAGGAUUUGUUUAGGAUUUGAUUAGGAUUUGGUUAAGGUUUAUUUAGAAUUUGAUUAAGAUUUGGUUAUAGUUUGAUUAGGAUUUGAUUAAGAUUUGAUUAGGAUUUAUUAAUAUUUGACUAGGGUUUAUCUAGGAUUUGAUUAGAGUUUGAUCAGGAUUUAAUUAAGUUUUUUAUUUUAAUAUUUUAUUAAUAUUUCUAUUUUAUUAUAU
This 458-nucleotide long non-coding RNA is filed under the name Physcomitrium patens. RNAcentral's name for it is "long non-coding RNA (PPAT_LNC010986)". The record is from RNAcentral. Lineage: Eukaryota; Viridiplantae; Streptophyta; Bryopsida; Funariales; Funariaceae.